GCCGGGUGUGGUGGCUCACGCCUGUAAUCCCAGCACUUUGGGAGGCUGAGGCGGGAGGAUCACCUGAGGUCGGGAGUUCGAGACCAGCCUGGCCAACAUGGUGAAACCCUGUCUCUA
This 117-nucleotide non-coding RNA is filed under the name Pan paniscus (pygmy chimpanzee). Lineage: Eukaryota; Metazoa; Chordata; Mammalia; Primates; Hominidae. RNAcentral also lists the same sequence under 1 other name. The record is from Rfam by way of RNAcentral.